RNAcentral lists this ribosomal RNA (655 nucleotides) under Anoxybacteroides contaminans. RNAcentral describes it as "bacterial SSU rRNA". It matches the Rfam family "Bacterial small subunit ribosomal RNA", at positions 93 to 734 of the family's 1533-position model. Lineage: Bacteria; Bacillati; Bacillota; Bacilli; Caryophanales; Anoxybacillaceae. The record is from RNAcentral.
UAGCGGCGGACGGGUGAGUAACACGUGGGCAACCUGCCCUGUAGACGGGGAUAACACCGAGAAAUCGGUGCUAAUACCGGAUAACACGAAAGACCGCAUGGUUUUUCGUUGAAAGGCGGCGCAAGCUGUCGCUACAGGAUGGGCCCGCGGCGCAUUAGCUAGUUGGUGAGGUAACGGCUCACCAAGGCGACGAUGCGUAGCCGACCUGAGAGGGUGAUCGGCCACACUGGGACUGAGACACGGCCCAGACUCCUACGGGAGGCAGCAGUAGGGAAUCUUCCGCAAUGGACGAAAGUCUGACGGAGCAACGCCGCGUGAGCGAAGAAGGCCUUCGGGUCGUAAAGCUCUGUUGUUAGGGAAGAACAAGUACCGCAGUCACUGGCGGUACCUUGACGGUACCUAACGAGAAAGCCACGGCUAACUACGUGCCAGCAGCCGCGGUAAUACGUAGGUGGCAAGCGUUGUCCGGAAUUAUUGGGCGUAAAGCGCGCGCAGGCGGUUCCUUAAGUCUGAUGUGAAAGCCCACGGCUCAACCGUGGAGGGUCAUUGGAAACUGGGGGACUUGAGUGCAGAAGAGGAGAGCGGAAUUCCACGUGUAGCGGUGAAAUGCGUAGAGAUGUGGAGGAACACCAGUGGCGAAGGCGGCUCUCUGGUC